AUGGGCACGUCUUUUGGAAGCUGCAAGCUGCAGGAUGAGCAAUACCAGUACUACAAGAACUUGGAUGAUGAAAAGAAGUAUUUCUUGGUGCUUAUGUUGGGUGAUUUCCAAGAUGCGAUGAUAAUUCCAGAAGAAGUUGUGCGGCGUUUCAAAGGCGAGAUCCCAGUAGAGAUCAAGCUGGAAACCCGAAAUGGUUACAGUCACACCAUUGUGGUUGCCAAGUACCAAGAAAAGCUUGUCCUUACAGUGGGUUGGCGGCAAUUUGUUGAAAACUAUGAUCUACAAAUGGAUGAUUCCUUAAUAUUCAGAUACAAAGGGAACUCUCAGCUUAGUGUCAUGAUCUUUGAUAAGCUUGGUCGUGAAAAAGCAUUAUCGGUUGUUCCGGCUCCUUUUUUGCCUCAGGUCCAAGACAGGCGCAAUGAGGCACAUGAAAUCAGGUAUUCUCAAAAGAUGGAUGUGCCUCGGGAAAGAAGAAAAAAGCGGACUGAAUAUCACUACGCAAACUUGGAUGAUGAGAAGAAAUAUUUCUUGGUGCUUAUGAUGGAUGAUUUUCAAGAUGAUAUGGUAAAUUCAUAUUCAAAUACAAUCGUCCCAAAAGAAUUUGUUCAGCAUUUCAAGGGCGAAUUCCCAGGAGAGAUGAUACUUGAAACACAAAAUCGUCGCAGUUGCAAAAUUGGAGUUGCCAAGAACAAUGGAAAGCUUGUCUUCACAGUGGGAUGGGGGAAAUUCGUUGAAACCUUUGGUCUAAAGAUGGAUGACACCAUAUUAUUCAGAUACAAUGGGAACUCUCAGUUUAAUGACAUAAUCUUUGAUGAAGAUGGCUGUGAGAAGGCAUCAUCAGUUUUUUUGGAUCCUUCUCCGCCUCCUGUGCAAGAAAGGCACAGAAGUGCUACUGAUACUGUGAAAAGUUCUCAUGUUCAUACUCAGGCAAUUCAAUCAGAGUCAUUUAGCAUAGUGGAAGGGAUGCCGAUGGGGUCACCAUGCUUCAAAAUGGAAAUGGACAAGUCAUGUCAAGACAACAACACCGUGAUAAGUAUUUCCUCCUGCGAGUCAUCAGGUCUCAGAGAAUCUUCCUCUGAAGAAGAAUAUGUAGUACAUAAAGUGCCUCGUUCCGAUUAUGUCAGGAAGAGGAAGGCCGGGCAGUUGAAGUAUGCCAAUGGAGUGACCACACUAUCUUCAUUUAAGCAGGGGCAGUUGAAGGACCAUUACAUUACCGCCCACAAGACCAAACUAACUUCAACUCAGAAGGAAGUGGUGAAGCAGAAGGUCCAAUCCAUAUACACAGAGAUCCCCAUCUUUGUUGCUGUGAUGCGCAAGUACAAUGUUGUUGUAGAAUUCUUGCUGACUUUCCCCAGAUACUAUGCUAAGAAAUAUCUUGGAGAGGAGCCACACAUGUAUCUUCAGCGGAUGGGCCGGAAGUGGGAUGUGUGGUUUAGUGAAAACAAUGACUGUAAAAAUCUCAGGAGGGGAUGGAGACAGUUUGUAGAAGACCACAAGCUGAAGAUUGGUGAUAUCUGCCUCUUUAAACUGUUGAGCAUUCAGAGUAGAACCAUGGAGGUCUACAUCAUCCGUGCAAACGAU
RNAcentral lists this ribosomal RNA (1581 nucleotides) under Triticum aestivum (bread wheat). Its description in RNAcentral is "partial small subunit ribosomal RNA". Lineage: Eukaryota; Viridiplantae; Streptophyta; Magnoliopsida; Poales; Poaceae. The record is from RNAcentral.